RNAcentral lists this ribosomal RNA (247 nucleotides) under uncultured bacterium. Its description in RNAcentral is "partial small subunit ribosomal RNA". It matches the Rfam family "Bacterial small subunit ribosomal RNA", at positions 26 to 285 of the family's 1533-position model. The record is from RNAcentral.
AGAAUCAACGCUGGCGGCGUGCCUAACACAUGCAAGUCGAACGAGAAAGUGGGAGCAAUCCCACGAGUAAAGUGGCGCACGGGUGAGUAACACGUGACUAACCUACCCUUGAGUGGGGGAUAACCUAGGGAAACCUGGGCUAAUACCGCAUAAUACCUACGGGUCAAAGGAGCAAUUCGCUUUAGGGAGGGGUCGCGGCAGAUUAGUUAGUUGGCGGGGUAAUGGCCCACCAAGACAGUGAUCUGUA